UUGUGGCCAUAUCACGUUGAAACACCGGUUGUCGUCAGAUCACUGAAUUCAAGCAACGCCGAUCCUGGUCAGUCAGUACCUAGAUGGGUGACUGUUUGGGAAUAUCAGGUGAUGUCAG
Non-coding RNA from Acanthosepion pharaonis, 118 nucleotides. The record is from the annotation of a GenBank genome assembly. NCBI's taxonomy places the organism in Eukaryota, Metazoa, Mollusca, Cephalopoda, Sepiida, Sepiidae.